GAUAAGUCUGUAUUUCAUUGCUUUUUGAGUAUGCAUUCAUCAUCUAUUCAGCAUCAUUCACUUGUUGAUUCGCAUCAUAUUGAUCCCUUUCUGCAUGUUUUACAUACUUAGGUAGGUUUUAUGCAUAUCAUGCAUAUCAUGCAUAUCUUGCAUACAUUGUGCAUAUUUGGAGUGUCUCAGGUACUUAGGAGACAUGCAGAGCGAAGCAGAGGAACAAGCGUUACUCGACAUGCACACGAUCGAGUGGGAGGAUCGAGUGAGAAGCAAGGAUGAAUUGCAGUUACAUCGACUAUCGAGUGAGCAGCAGACGUAUACGAUCGAGUAGCGGAUCGAGCAGAAGGGAAGCGAAGCAGAACCACCUGUCACUCGAUGCACUCACUCGAGUGACAUGAUCGAGCAAAGCAAAGAAGUAGCUGAUGGUUUUACAGGUCACUCGACACGAUCACUCGAAUGACACGAUCGAGCAAAGCAGAGAAGAUGGUCACUCGAGGUGCUCACUCGACCAACUUAGUCAAAACAACCUUUGAACCGCUUUUACGUUGUCGUUUUAUGUUUUAAGGUUUUCCCAAACAUUGUUAUAAAUAGGCUUCAUUUGGAUUGCCGAAGGGAGAGUUUGAUUUUUAUUAGGUUUUUGUUGUAGCCACAAAACGAUCCUGAGAAUUGUAAUUCAUAUUUCUUUUGAGUUAUUGAGAUUUUGCAACUAGUUCUGAAAUCAUUGUUGUUACUCUUCCUAUCAUCCUUAUUAUUAUGCAUGUUUUGAACGAUUCUUGUUUCAUGAUGUUUAACAUGAUUUCUGCGUCUGAGUAGUGUUAGGGUUCUUGAGGAUGGGAUAGAUUAGGUGGAGGAUGUUAGUUUGCUAGAGUGUUUAUGUUAGAUUCAUUUUGUUUCCCUUCUCGACUAGAGUUUUAUUAGCUAGUUUUUCUCUGAUCAAUUGGAAUUAGGUCACAGACAUUUCAUACCCGAAAGGUAUAUGAUGAAAUGUCUGAACCAACUAGUGCCAGAGAUUUACAUGCUUAGCCCAAGAGAUUGGUUGUCUAAGAUGUUUAUUGACAUUAAUGAGCUGUUUCUUUAUGCCUGUUUACUUCAUGUUUCAUCAAUGAGAAUUGAGAUUAGGAAGUGUUGUAAACUUGAUAGUUUCUGCCAAGAGAUUGGAUUGACUAGUAUUAGAAGUUCAUUGUCUAGGGAUUAGAAUGUUUGCAGUUUGAUAAACACUCGAAGUAGAUUAGCAUACUCCACCUACAUCAAUAACCUCAUCCUCGGGAUCUUCUAUCCAUUUGUGCUUUCUGUUUAAUUCUCUUGUUAUUUACUUGGUCUGCUUUGUUUUCUUGCCAGUAUCAAUAAUCAUUACGUUUUAGUUUACGCAUGGUAGUCUAUGUUUUACAGCUUUACAUUUAUUGCAUGUUUAACAUGUCCGCUUAGGAUCGCUGAAAACCAAAAGUCAUUUAUGCUUGCUUGACUUAAUCAUCUCUGAUAUAUCUUGAUUGCUAGCAUCACACCUGAUUGGAUUGAUACCUAUUGUACUGCAAUGACAUGAUAGUACUCUAGGGUAAUUGAUAGAAAAAUCCUAGUAUCAAUUUGGCGCCGCUGCCAUUUGGGUGUUUGUGUGUUACAUUUGAGAUUUCAGACUUGCUAAGAUCAAGUUUUUACUCAACAUUCACUACAGUUACUCACUCUGUUCCUUCUGUUUGUUUAUUAAUUCAGGUACAACUCUUGCUCAACUGCUCCUACUCGACUGACACACUCAACCGAUAAGAGGGAUAAGCUGAUUUGAGUUGUAUGCACACACGGUCGCAAGGCACAGAGAACUUGUUCCAGCCCUCCGACCGUAUUGAUCGCUUGGUACCUGCAUCACGACAGCAACGCAACAGAGUUACACCACCCCAAGUGGAGAUGGAAAACAUUCAACCACCACCCCACCCCCACCACGGGCACCUACACGGAUUGGAGCUGGUGAUGCUCCACGCAACCAUACCCAUCGUCAGGGUAUAGUGCCUCCAGCCGUGGCGAACAACAACUUUGAGAUCAAGAGUGGUCUGAUCUCCAUGGUCCAGCAGAAUAAAUUUCAUGGUCUGCCUAUGGAAGACCCCCUGGAUCACCUUGAUGAGUUUGAUCGUCUCUGUAGUCUCACCAAGAUCAAUGGGGUCAGUGAGGACGGUUUCAAGCUACGUCUCUUUCCAUUCUCUUUGGGUGACAAAGCUCAUCAAUGGGAGAAAACUCUUCCUCCAGGAUCUAUCACUUCCUGGGAUCAAUGCAAGCAGUCGUUUCUUGNNNNNNNNNNNNNNNNNNNNNNNNNNNNNNNNNNNNNNNNNNNNNNNNNNNNNNNNNNNNNNNNNNNNNNNNNNNNNNNNNNNNNNNNNNNNNNNNNNNNUCAAAAGUUAUCAGUCUCAGUGCCCCCAUCAUGGUUUCACCAAGGAGUCUCUCCUCAGUACUCUUUACCGGGGUGUUCUCCCAAAGAUCCGGAUGUUGCUUGACACUGCCAGCAAUGGCAACUUUCUGAACAAGGACGUUGACGAAGGUUGGGAGCUUGUUGAAAACCUAUCCCAAUCUGAUGGCAACUACAAUGAAGAUUAUGAUAGAACCAUCAGGGCGAGCACAGAUCUUGAUGAGAAUUACAAGAAGGAGAUGAAAGCUGUGAAUGAUAAGUUGGACAAGCUAUUGAUGAGCCAUCAGAGGAACAUCCAUUUCGUCUCUGAAGACGACCCUUUCCAGAUUCUGAAUGGGGAGGGAGAACAAUCUGAGGAGAUAAGCUAUGUCCAGAACCAAGGUGGAUACAACAAGGGAUACAAUCCUUAUAAGCAGAAUCCAAAUCUGUCCUAUCGGAGCACCAAUGUUGCAAACCCCCAGGAUCAGGUUUAUCCACCUCCACAACAGCAGCAGCAGGGGCAGAACAAACCAUUUGUGCCCUACAACCAAGGUUAUGUGCCCAAACAACAAUUUCAGCAAGGUUACCAACCUCCAGCAGGACCACCACCAGGAUUCCAACCUCAACAUGCUCCGCCUCCUCAGGCACCAGAUCAAGACAUGAAAAACAUGCUUCAGCAACUCCUACAGGGACAAGCAAGUGGCUCCAUGGACAAUGCUAAGAAGUUUGCUGAGCUGACUCAGAGAUUGGACUGCUCAUACAAUGAUCUGAACAUGAAGAUUGAGACUCUGAAUUCCAAGAUCAAGUAUAUAGAGGGUAAAACUGCUUCUACUUCUGCCCCAAAGCCGGGCCAACUCCCAGGAAAAGCUGUUCAGAAUCCUAAGGAGUUUGCUCAUGCCAUCACGCUGAGGAGCGGUAAAAACUUGCCUCCCAGACAAGGACCUGUUGUAGUCACUGGGGACAGUGAAGACUUGGAAGGGGAGGAUGUAUGUCAGAAUGAAGAUCCGGUUGUUCCUUUGGAAGAAUCAGAAGUCGUACCUGAAGAAGCUCCUCAACCUGCUGAGAAACAUGCUGAAACACCUGCAGCAUCCAAGGAUAAGUCUGCGAGAUACGUUCCCCCACCAUACAAACCACCUCUACCAUUUCCAGGACGAUUCAAAAAGCAGCAAGCUGAGAAGUAUAAGGCUUUAUUUGAAAAGCAAUUGAGAGAGAUUGAGUUGAGAAUGCCAUUGCUGGAUGCAUUCGCACUUGUCCCUCCUUAUCAGAAGUUCCUCAAAGAUUUGGUUAUGGAGAGAACAAAAGAAGUCCAGGGAAUGGUGAUAUUGAGUCAUGAAUGCAGUGCCAUUAUCCAGAAGAAGAUCACUCCCCUGAAGCUUAAGGAUCCUGGAUCCUUCACUCUACCCUGCUCACUAGGCCCCCUAUCUUUCAACUGAUGCCUAUGUGAUCUUGGAGCUUCUGUGAGUCUGAUGCCGUUGUCUGUGGCUAAGCGUUUAGGAUUCACAAGAUACAAGGCAUGCAACAUAUGUCUCAUUCUAGCUGACAGAUCAGUGAGGCUCCCGCAUGGACUCUUGGAAGACUUACCAAUAAGGAUUGGUGUUGUUGAGGUCCCUACAGAUUUUGUUGUUAUGAAGAGCCUAAGGAUCCCCUGAUUCUUGGAAGACCAUUCCUAGCCACUGCUGGAGCUAUCAUUGAUGUUAAGAAGGGGAAGAUAGACUUAUGCUUGGGAGAAGACUUCAAGAUGACAUUUGACAUUAAGGAGUCUAUGAAGAAACCAACAAUCAAUGGCAAGGUGUUCUGGAUAGAGGAGAUGGAUCAGCUAGCUGAUGAACUUUUAGAAGAACUUGCUGAGGAGGAUCAUCUCAAGACAGCGUUGACAAAGAGUGGAUCAGAUGGAUUUCUUCAUGCUGAGACAAAGGUCUACGAAACGUUACUGGAUACCUACAAGGCAACUGAUGAUUCAGAACGUUUUGAGGAAUUGGAUAAGUCUGUCAAGGAGGUAUGCACAGUAGAGGAGGAAGUCAGUGGCAGCCCGAUGACUCACCAUGCUGUUGACCCUGUCAAUGCGGCUGAUGAUGACUGGUCAGAGUUAAAAGCUCCCAAGGUUGAGCUCAAACCGCUACCCUCAGGACUGAGGUAUGUAUUCCUUGGAUCCAACUCUACUUAUCCUGUCAUUGUGAAUGCUAGCUUGAGUAAUGAGGAAUUAGAGUUGCUAGUCACUGAGCUUAGAAAAUAUAGAAGGGCCAUAGGUUAUUCCUUAGAUGAUAUCAAGGGGAUCUCACCUAGUCUCUGCAUGCAUAGGAUUAAUCUGGAAAAUGAAUCAUACUCUAGUAUUGAACCUCAAAGGAUAUUGAAUCCUAACCUUAAGGAAGUUGUGAAAAAAGAAAUUCUUAAACUGUUGAAUGCUGGGGUUAUCUAUCCUAUCUCUGAUAGUACUUGGUUAUCCCCAGUGCAUUGCGUACCUAAGAAAGGAGGGAUUACAGUGAUAAAAAAUGAAAAAGAUGAAUUGAUCCCCACUAGGACUAUCACUGGCCAUAGGAUGUGCAUUAAUUACAGAAAACUGAAUGCUGCAUCUAGGAAAGAUCAUUUCCCGCUUCCUUUCAUUGAUCAAAUGUUAGAACGAUUAGCCAAUCAUCCCUACUACUGUUUCCUUGAUGGGUAUAGCGGAUUUUUCCAAAUCCAUAUCCACCCAAAUGAUCAGGAAAAGACUACGUUCACUUGUCCAUAUGGCACAUUUGCCUACAGACGCAUGCCUUUUGGUUUGUGUAAUGCACCUGCAACAUUUCAGAGGUGUAUGACCUCUAUAUUCUCGGAUUUGAUAGAGGAGAUGGUGGAGGUGUUCAUGGAUGAUUUUUCCGUGUAUGGCUCCUCCUUCUCCUCAUGUUUGUUAAAUCUCUGCAGGGUAUUAGCAAGAUGUGAGGAGACAAGCCUGGUGCUCAACUGGGAGAAGUGUCACUUCAUGGUGAACGAAGGGAUAGUGUUGGGACACAAGGUAUCAGAGAAAGGGAUUGAGGUUGAUAAGGCAAAGAUUGAGGUCAUGGUGCAGUUGCAGCCUCCCAAGUCAGUCAAGGAUAUAAGGAGUUUCCUUGGGCACGCUGGGUUUUACAGAAGAUUCAUCAAGGACUUCUCAAAAAUUGCAAGACCCCUUACAAGACUGCUGUGCAAGGAGGUCGAGUUUGUUGUUGAUGAGAGCUGUCUGGAAGCUUUCAACAAGAUCAAGGAAGCGUUAGUCUCAGCACCAAUAGUCCAAGCUCCAGACUGGGAUCAUCCUUUUGAGAUAAUGUGUGAUGCCUCAGAUUAUGCAGUAGGGGCUGUGUUGGGACAGCGAAUAGAGAAGAAACUGCAUGUCAUCUACUAUGCGAGCAGAACCCUUGAUGAGACACUAGGGAGGUAUGCAACAACAGAGAAAAAGCUCUUGGCUGUAGUCUUUGCGUUUGAGAAAUUCAGAAGUUACUUGGUGGGAUCAAAAGUGGUAGUCUACACAGACCAUGCUGCGCUUAGACAUAUAUACUCCAAGAAGGAUACCAAACCAAGACUGCUGAGAUGGAUACUUCUACUCCAGGAGUUUGAUAUGGAGAUUGUUGACAAGAAGGGGAUAGAGAACGGCGUUGCUGAUCACCUGUCCAGAAUGAGAAUAGAAGAUCCAAUCCCUAUUGAUGACUUUAUGCCUGAAGAACAUCUCAUGGUUGUUGAGAUAUGCAAGAAGAUGCAUCAAACAGGAAUGGCUAUGAAGGAGCUUCAAUGUCUAGCAGUCAAUUCAGAGAGUAUGCCCUGGUAUGCGGAUGUGGUUAACUACAAAGUCUGUGGAGAGAUUCCUGCAGACAUGGAUCCUUAUAGGAAAAAGAAGUUUUUCAGAGAUGUCAACCACUACUUCUGGGAUGAACCUUACCUGUACAAGAGGGGUUCAGAUGGACUGUUUAGGAGAUGCAUAGCAGAAGGAGAAGUACAGGGAGUGCUUGAGCACUGUCAUGGAUCCGCAUAUGGAGGACACUUCGCUACAUUCAAAACAGUUCAGAAGGUUCUACAAGCAGGCCUUUGGUGGCCAACGUUGUUCAAGGAUACAAACAGUUUCAUCACCAAGUGUGACGCUUGCCAGAGGAUGGGUAACAUCAACAGAAGGAAUGAGAUGCCUCAGAACCCGAUUUUGGAAGUAGAAAUUUUUGAUGUUUGGGGAAUUGAUUUCAUGGGACCGUUCAACCCUCCAUCAAAUGGCAACGUCUACAUUCUGGUUGCAGUCGAUUAUGUUUCAAAAUGGGUUGAAGCCAUUUCAAGUCCCACCAAUGAUCACAAGGUUGUUCUGAAACUGUUCAAGAGCAUUAUCUUUCCCAGGUAUGGAGUACCUAGAGCAGUGAUCAGUGAUGGUGGUACACACUUCAUCAACAAAGUUUUUGAAAGCAUGUUGAAGAAGUAUGGUGUGAAGCAUAAGGUGUCUACGGCCUACCAUCCCCAGACAUGUGGACAAGUUGAGGUCUCCAACAAGCAGAUAAAAGGAAUCUUGUCAAGAGUUGUUGGGGUUUCGAAGAGAGAUUGGUCUACCAAGUUGGAUGACACUCUAUGGGCGUAUAGGACAGCUUUCAAGACACCAAUAGGAAGGACACCUUUUCAGCUGGUGUAUGGUAAAGCAUGUCAUCUCCCUGUGGAGAUUGAGUAUAAGGCGCUUUGGGCUAUCAAGCUUCUGAACUUGGACAUCGAUGCAGCCCAAGCAAAGAGAGUUCUUGACAUCCAUGAACUUGAGGAAAUCAGACUUGAUGCCUUCGAGAGUUCCAAAAUCUAUAAGGAGAGAACCAAGGCUUUUCAUGAUAAGAAGAUUGUCGUUAACGAGCUUAACGCUGGAGAUCACGUCUUGCUGUUCAAUUCCAGACUGAAACUGUUUCCUGGAAAGCUCAAGUCCAGAUGGUCUGGACCAUUUGAAAUCAAGGAUGUUUUGCCAUUCGGUGCGAUCACUCUCCUGAACAAGGAUGGCAGCGAGUUCACUGUGAACGGUCAACGUGUCAAGCGAUACCUAGCGGAUCAAGAGACACCAGAGGGGUCCUCCAUACCUCUCUACGAGCCUCCCAAAGCCUAAAGGGCAUAAACAGUCAAGCUUAGUGACUUUAAACAAGCUCACUUGGGAGGAAGUCCCAAAGGUAUCCCUGUACAUAUUGCUUAGGAUUUUUCUUGUGUUUUUAAUUUUUGUUUUUGGUUUUGUGUUGUUCAGGACAUCAAAGACAUGAGAGAACAUAUACAUUAUUAUCAGAACGUGAAAUGAACGAAGUGAGCGGGAGAUGCAGUGUCAAACAUAGUUCAGUGAGAUGGUGGGUAGAGAUGUUUAGGAUUUUUUGUGUUUUUGAUUUUUGUUUUUGGUUUUCUGUUGGUAAGGAUUUCAGAUAGAUGGAGUAAUGCAAAACAGAGUAAGAUGCGGAUGCAGAAUCGAGUAUGACAAAAUGAACAAAGUGAGUGGGAGAUGCAGUAUCAAAAAUAUUUCAGUGAAAAGUUAAAAAAAGUAAAAAAAUAAAAAAGAAAAAAAGAAAACCCUCUUUUCCUUACCCACUCGAUUUUUCCUAUCCUUUUCUCCCUAACCACACAAAAAAAUCCUAUCUUCUCUCUAUCUCUCUCACUCGAUAUCCUUCACCACUUCUCACAUCCUCUCACCAUCCACUCAACCUCGCAGCUACCACUCGACCCUCACUCGAGUCACGCCGUCGAAGCAUCCUCUUCACUCGGCCGGGUUCACUCGAGCACCGAGGCUCACGCGACCCUUUCUCACCAUCCGCUCAUCCUCACUCGACGCGCACACCACUCGACGGUAAAGCUCUCGCUCGACUCGUCGGAUUUCAGCUCACUCGACCGUCACUCACUCGACCGUAUUCACUCGAGGUUACCGUCAAUCUACUCGAGUAGCUACUAAAGCUCACUCGAGCUCCCACUCGAUCGACACGCUCCACACAUCGCUCGUGUCUAUUCACUCGAUUCCUUCUCUCAAUCGGCUAAGCUCCACCCCCAACCGACAAGUACUCGACCACUUUGUCUUCACUGGUGCUACUCGACCAGUCGUACUCGACCCUUACUCGACUCGCUUUCGCCUCCUCCGAUUCCACCAGCCAAGCGAGCUCCUCGCCACUCGACGUGCAUCACACACUCGACGAGUCAAGCUCCCAAGCUUCACUCGACCACUCUCACCGUCGCCUCACUCGAACUUCCCAUUGAUACUCUUCACACGCGUGUGUACCUCGACCGAGCACAAGGUCACUCGACCGAACCCAGCUGGAUACUCACUCGACCGAGAAGUGCAAAAGUGAUAAAUUUGCUAAGUGUUACUUCCCUUGGCAUUUCUCUAUAUACAUUGGCUAUUUUAUCUUGAUAUUUGGCACACUAACGAGCUAAUUUUUAGUUUUGAGUUCCAAUUGUUUCAGUUUCACAAUGUCAAGAGAUUUGUUGCAUGAAAUGCGUGAGAAGUAUGGUUGUAAACCAACAGAGCGUGCAUCUCCUCACUCUAUGUCCAAGGUCUACAUGGAGAAGAAGAAAGCUGCAUAUGAGAGAGCGUCUGGUGUUGGUCCUUCUCAAGCAAGAAGCAGAGCUAAGUCUUCGGGUAAAAAACCAAUGGAGCUGCGGGAUGAUGAUAGUGAUUAUGAGCUUGAAGAGCAUCCACCUGUCCCAGCUCGCAAGUCAGCGCAGAAGAAGAAGACAGAGAAGUGGUUAGCCCCGGGAGAGUAUUACAAGCUGUUUCAGCAGCAUGAGUUUCAGGGCACGAGGUAUCCUUGCCAGCAGACGAUGGAUGAGCUGGCUAUCUCGAGUGAUGUCGAGUAUAUGUUCGAGCAUUGUCAUCUCAGCACACUCAUGACUAGUCCGCGAAAUGCAUACCGAGAGGAGACAAUUCAGUUCCUCUGUACGCUUGCCAUACAUCUUUAUGAGGAUGAUCCGGACAUAGAGUCGGAUGGAGGAUUGGGAUACAUCACCUUCACCAUCCAUGAUCAUGAGUAUCUUCUGACCAUCAGAGAGCUGGAAGGUUUGUUUGGAUUCCCUAAUGGAACAGGGAUUGGGCAGAGGAUUGAUAGGGAUGAAUUGUUGGAUCUUUGGGAAACGAUUGGGAAUGAUAAGAAGUUCGCUUCAUCUAGGACCAAGAGCAACCACAUCAGAAGUCCAAUUAUCCGCUACUUCCAUCGAUCAGUUGCAAACGUGUUUUUCGCGAGGGAGACAACAGGGACACUGAUCAACGGGGAGCUGGAGAUGAUUGAUCUUGCACUUAAAGAUCUCUUGUUAACAGCAGUAGAUGGGACACUACUGCGAGGUGAUACGACUGAUACAUCUCCCUCGUUCACUCUGUUGCACCAGCUACUCAGUUACAGAACUUGGGUAGUGAAGCUGAGCAGCUGCAGAACUCAAGGAGUUAUGUGUAUGGGCGGGUUGGUGACAGUCAUCUUGGAAGCUUGUAGCGUCCCGCUGAGUUCAGAGCCUAUUGCACCGAGAUUCAUCGACAUUCAGAACUUGAGGCAAGCUCAAUGGUUGCAUUGGGAGAAACGCAACGGGUUGUAUAUGUAUUACUUCACUCACCCCGUACAUGGUGACGUGCGAUUUUUGCUUCCUUGUAUCGCUUUCACUAGGAUACUCGAAGGAAGCAACAUUGAGUUUACUCCCCCUGCAGAGGCUCUCUACACGACAGAUGGUGAGGAAGCGAUGGAGGUAUCUGAGAAAGAGGAUGNNNNNNNNNNNNNNNNNNNNNNNNNNNNNNNNNNNNNNNNNNNNNNNNNNNNNNNNNNNNNNNNNNNNNNNNNNNNNNNNNNNNNNNNNNNNNNNNNNNNNNNNNNNNNNNNNNNNNNNNNNNNNNNNNNNNNNNNNNNNNNNNNNNNNNNNNNNNNNNNNNNNNNNNNNNNNNNNNNNNNNNNNNNNNNNNNNNNNNNNNNNNNNNNNNNNNNNNNNNNNNNNNNNNNNNNNNNNNNNNNNNNNNNNNNNNNNNNNNNNNNNNNNNNNNNNNNNNNNNNNNNNNNNNNNNNNNNNNNNNNNNNNNNNNNNNNNNNNNNNNNNNNNNNNNNNNNNNNNNNNNNNNNNNNNNNNNNNNNNNNNNNNNNNNNNNNNNNNNNNNNNNNNNNNNNNNNNNNNNNNNNNNNNNNNNNNNNNNNNNNNNNNNNNNNNNNNNNNNNNNNNNNNNNAUCACACUUGUCAGAGGAGCAUCAUGUUGAGGAUCUGACCAUGGAUCAAGCCGAGGAUCACAUUGAGGACCUGACUGUUGAUCCAGGUGCGUAUCAUUUCCAAGACCUCACUGCGGAUCCUGUCGAGCAGAACGUUGAGCAACCAGCAGUGGCUCCUCCUGUCCCGCCUGCACCAGGUGCUUAUACAAGCGAGUCCAUGACUCAAUACCUGGAUUGCUAUUUUCAGUAAGGUACCACUCCAAACCUUCAUUUGUAUAUACCAUUGCAUUUUCAUACUUUUCUUUGUUUGAUUCUCAAACCAACUCUCAAAUUUUUAUUACACAAGAGACUGUGUAAUUUAAGUUUGGGGGAGGGUUUGGGAUGACAUUUGAUGUUGUGUUCUCUUUUCUUAUUUUGAAUUUUUAGCAUAUAAUUUGCAUUCAUAUAUGUGCAUUGAAAACCCCUAAAAAUUUGAAAAAUUUUCAGAAAAAAAUCUUUAAAAACAGAGUGAUCNNNNNNNNNNNNNNNNNNNNNNNNNNNNNNNNNNNNNNNNNNNNNNNNNNNNNNNNNNNNNNNNNNNNNNNNNNNNNNNNNNNNNNNNNNNNNNNNNNNNGUCUAGAUUGUUUCAUGUAGGACUGUUGCAUUAGCAUAGGGGGCGAUGAUGAGUUACACCUUGUUGAUUUGCUAGGAUUCACCAGUUGAGAUCAAUGCCCUGGUUGUUAGCUUUUUGAUGCAUGAUGAUUGAACUUGAAGUAAGUCUGAAACAAACUUGGAAUUCAUGAAGAGCAUUCUUGAACUUGGUUGAAACAUGUUGUGAUAUGAUCUCAUUCCUUAUCCUAUAAGAACUUAAUCUUGACUUGCAAAUAUCUGGUUGUGUUUUGCUUGCAUGCUCAUGGUCACCAUAUACAUAUUUGGAUCAUCUUCCUCCUUUCACCACUCUUGUUGAUCCAAGUAGCUGAUCUUUCUUUUGAUCAGUUUGCCACACCCACAGCCUAUCCUUUUCUUUCAAGCCAAUUGAUAAUUUUUGAGUGGUAGGUCUUUUACCGGAUUAUGCUUGGGGAGAACGUGUUAGGUAUGAGCUGACAGGAUUAAAAUCUUGAGUAGUUCUGAUUUUCAGUUUCAAAUCAGAUAGGAAUAGGUUGGGAUUCUUACUUGGGUUUGGGAUUGGGAUGAUUGUGGAAAGAAAGAAGAGAAACAGAAAAAGUUGUGUCCUUAGGAGGAGAAUGUUUUCUAGAAGUUUAUAAUCUAGUGAUUAUUUUUGCGGGGUUAGCAUGAUAUACGGAGAAUGGUUCUAGGAUGUUAAGAAAGUGAAAAAGUUUUGAUGUUUUAUAACGUAAGAAGAAAACAGAACCAUAGUUAAGAAGAAAUCCCCUAUCCACUAGUAUUGAUAAGAAACUUCUCCUAAGGCAAAAAGCAAAAAGAAAAAAAUGGGAUUGAUGUUGAAGGGUAGACAUAGGGAUCAUCCGGGUUUAGAUGAUUAGGAGUAAGCACUUGGGAACCAUUGGGUAGUCAAGGUUUUAUUCCUGUAUGCAUUUGUUGGUCCUUACCUUUAGCAUUCUCCCUAAAGCUCAAUCCAUUCAUUGAGAGAUCCUUGUCCUGAAAUUGUUUAAACCCUCAUGAUUCUCAAAACCUUUUUCUGCCUAGCCAAGUGAGUUUGUUAAGCCUUGCACAACCAGAUUCAUAUACUUGAGUAAUGAAUGUUAAAAGGAAUGAAUGAUUUGAAUGCAUGUGUAGAUCAAGGGAUAGAAUCAGUUUCGGAUUUGAUGAGUUUGUCUAAAAUCGUUAAGUAAAGUUCUCUCAGCAUGCAUCAAAGACUUAGCAACCAGGACAUUGAUUUUAACUGCUCUAUCUUGCAAGUUACAGGUUCUGAGACCCCAUUUUCAAACCUCUCUUCCACUUUGUUUCUUUUUGCUUUGCUUGAGGGCAAGCAAAGACUAAGUUUGGGGGAGUUGAUAAGUCUGUAUUUCAUUGCUUUUUGAGUAUGCAUUCAUCAUCUAUUCAGCAUCAUUCACUUGUUGAUUCGCAUCAUAUUGAUCCCUUUCUGCAUGUUUUACAUACUUAGGUAGGUUUUAUGCAUAUCAUGCAUAUCAUACAUAUCUUGCAUACAAUGUGCAUAUUUGGAGUGUCUCAGGUACUUAGGAGACAUGCAGAGCGAAGCAGAGGAACAAGCGUUACUCGACAUGCACACGAUCGAGUGGGAGGAUCGAGUGAGAAGCAAGGAUGAAUUGCAGUUACAUCGACUAUCGAGUGAGCAGCAGACGUAUACGAUCGAGUAGCGGAUCGAGCAGAAGGGAAGCGAAGCAGAACCUAUUAAGAGGGUUAUGUUCUAUUAUGUAAUUAGCAUAUACUUAUGUAUAUUUGGGUAUAUCGAUUAGAAUAGAUCGAGUAUACGUAGGUCAAGAAGAGAAAUCAAACAAAAAGAAAGGAUCACAAGAGGAUCGUAUGACCUAAAAUCUUCGGUUUCGCAUCCGAUUGAACAAAACCAUAAGUUGGCUUAUGCGGUUGGUGAUCUCUUACCGGAUCCGUCUCGUUAUCGUCGGUUGGUUGGAAGGUUGAUUUAUCUUGCGGUGACACGUCCUGAACUGUCUUAUGCUAUCCACAUCUUAUCUCAGUUUAUGCAUGCUCCUCGCUCGGAACAUUGGGAUGCUGCCAUACGCACAGUUUGUUAUCUUAAGGGUCGUCCGGGACAAGGGAUUUUUUUAAGUUCUCGGUCAGACUUACGGUUGACAGCGUGGUGUGAUUCAGAUUAUGCGACCUGUCCUCUUACUAGUCGUUCACUCACAGCUUGGUUUAUACAAUUGGGUGGUUCGCCUAUUUCGUGGAAAACACGGAAGCAAGACACGGUUUCUCGGUCCUCGGCGGAAGCCGAAUAUAGAGCUAUGGCUGAUACUGUGAGUGAAUUGCUGUGGUUGCGUGAGCUUCUUACUACACUUGGCGUGGAUUGCUCUUAUCCUAUACCUCUUCAUUGUGACAAUCAAUCCGCUAUACAUCUUUCUCGUAAUCCGGUGUUUCAUGAGCGCACCAAACAUGUCAAGAAAGAUGUUCAUUUCAUUCGUGAUGAGAUUGUUCGCGGUGUCAUUGAUCCGCAAUAUGUAUCCACCAAGUUACAGCUUGCGGAUAUACUCACCAAAGCUCUCGGACGCAAGGAGUUUGAUAUGUUUUUGCUCAAGUUGGGUAUUUGUGAUCUUCAUACUCCAACUUGAGGGGGGGUAUUAAGAGGGUUAUGUUCUAUUAUGUAAUUAGCAUAUACUUAUGUAUAUUUGGGUAAUUACAUUUAAAUACUUUAGGUUUUAUCUCAUGUAAGUAUAUAAAGGCAUUGGCCUCCGAUGUUCAAUAAUAAGAAAAACCUUUAUACACACUUAGGUUUUGACAGAACCACCUGUCACUCGAUGCACUCACUCGAGUGACAUGAUCGAGCAAAGCAAAGAAGUAGCUGAUGGUCUUACAGGUCACUCGACACGAUCACUCGAGUGACACGAUCGAGCAAAGCAGAGAAGAUGGUCACUCGAGGUGCUCACUCGACCAACUUAGUCAAAACAACCUUUGAACCGCUUUUACGUUGUCGUUUUAUGUUUUAAGGUUUUCCCAAACAUUGUUAUAAAUAGGCUUCAUUUGGAUUGCCGAAGGGA
Molecule: long non-coding RNA, 14093 nt
Filed under: Capsella rubella
Lineage: Eukaryota; Viridiplantae; Streptophyta; Magnoliopsida; Brassicales; Brassicaceae
Description: long non-coding RNA (CRUB_LNC002541)
Source: RNAcentral